UGGUAAUGCCGGAUGCUCCGACUCCUCGCAUGGGGUGUCGGGAAAGAUUUCAUCGGUAUGGGAUGGGGUCGCGUCCUAUCAGGUAGUCGGCGGGGUAACGGCCCACCGAGCCUACGACGGGUAGCCGGCCUGAGAGGGCGACCGGCCACAUUGGGACUGAGAUACGGCCCAGACUCCUACGGGAGGCAGCAGUGGGGAAUAUUGCACAAUGGGCGCAAGCCUGAUGCAGCGACGCCGCGUGCGGGAUGACGGCCUUCGGGUUGUAAACCGCUUUUGAUCGGGAGCAAGCCUUCGGGUGAGUGUACCUUUCGAAUAAGCACCGGCUAACUACGUGCCAGCAGCCGCGGUAAUACGUAGGGUGCAAGCGUUAUCCGGAAUUAUUGGGCGUAAAGGGCUCGUAGGCGGUUCGUCGCGUCCGGUGUGAAAGUCCAUCGCUUAACGGUGGAUCUGCGCCGGGUACGGGCGGGCUGGAGUGCGGUAGGGGAGACUGGAAUUCCCGGUGUAACGGUGGAAUGUGUAGAUAUCG
RNAcentral lists this ribosomal RNA (526 nucleotides) under Bifidobacterium pseudocatenulatum. RNAcentral's name for it is "bacterial SSU rRNA". It matches the Rfam family "Bacterial small subunit ribosomal RNA", at positions 161 to 699 of the family's 1533-position model. The record is from RNAcentral. Lineage: Bacteria; Bacillati; Actinomycetota; Actinomycetes; Bifidobacteriales; Bifidobacteriaceae.